CGUAAUGGAUUGGGUAGGGGAGCGUUGUAUACGCGGAGAAACAGUAGCGUGAGCGGCUGUGGAGUGUAUAGAAGUGAGAAUGCCGGAAUGAGUAGCGCGAAUGAAGUGAGAAUCUGCAUGGCCGAAAGCCUCAGGUUUUUGGAGGAAGGUUCGUCCGCUCCAAGUUAGUCGGGAGCUAAGGUGAGGCCGGAAGGCGUAGCCGAUGCACAGACGGUAGAGAUUCCGUCACCACCAAAAGAGUUAAGCACAGGGACACAUUUGAAGUCUCAGAGCCGGGUGUUGGUUCCGGUAGAGAUCGAGGGAAAUUAGUACCGAAGUCUGGGAUGGAAGAUGGCGAGAAAAGCUGUGUGUAUUUCUGAGGUGCCCGUACCGCAAACCGACGCAGGUAGGUAGGAAGAAGAUUCUAAGGCCAACGGGAGAAGGGUUGUUAAGGAACUCGGCAAAUUGACCCCGUAACUUCGGGAGAAGGGGUGCUCCAGAGAUGGAGCCGCAGAGAAUCGGCCCAAGCAACUGUUUACCAAAAACACAGGUUUGUGCUAAAUCGAAAGAUGACGUAUACGAGCUGACGCCUGCCCGGUGCUGGAAGGUUAAGAGGAGAUGUGCAAGCAUUGAAUCGAAGCCCCAGUGAACGGCGGCCGUAACAAUAACGGUCCUAAGGUAGCGAAAUUCCUUGUCAGGUAAGUUCUGACCCGCAUGAAAGGCGUAAUGAUUUGGGCACUGUCUCAACAGCCCGCCCGGCGAAAUUGUAGUACCGGUGAAGAUGCCGGUUACCCGCGACAAGACGGAAAGACCCCAUGGAGCUUUACUGUAGCCUAAUAUUGGGUUUCGAUGUUGCAUGCACAGGAUAGAUGGGACACAGGGAAACAAUCGCUUUGGCGGUUGCGGAGUGGCCGUUGGGAUACCAUCCUUGCGAUAUUGGAAUUCUAACCUGCGGCUCUGAAUCGAGUCGGGGGACAUUGUUAGGUGGGCAGUUUGACUGGGGCGGUCGCCUCCUAAAAAGUAACGGAGGCGUUCAAAGGUUCGCUCAGCUUGAACGGAAAUCAAGCAAAAGAGUGCAAACGCAGAAGCGAGCCUAACUGCGAGACUGACGGGUCGAGCAGUAACGAAAGUUGGAGUUAGUGAUCCGGUGGUAUGUGAGUGGAAAUGCCAUCGCUCAACGGAUAAAAGUUACCCUGGGGAUAACAGGCUGAUCUCCCCCAAGAGUCCACAUCGACGGGGAGGUUUGGCACCUCGAUGUCGGCUCAUCGCAUCCUGGGGCUGUAUUCGGUCCCAAGGGUUUGGCUGUUCGCCAAUUAAAGCGGUACGCGAGCUGGGUUCAGAACGUCGUGAGACAGUUCGGUCCCUAUCUGUCGUGGGCGCAGGAUAUUUGAUGGGAGCUGUCCCUAGUACGAGAGGACCGGGACGGACGUACCUCUGGCGCACCAGUUGUUCCGCCAGGAGCAUAGCUGGGCAACUACGUACGGAUCGGAUAAACGCUGAAAGCAUCUAAGCGUGAAGCCGACCCAAAGAUAAGAUGUCCCAUUGUUUUAAACAAGUAAGACCCCUUGAAGACUACAAGGUUGAUAGGCACGAUGUGUAAGUGGAGCGAUCCAUUCAGCAAGCGUGUACUAAUAGGUCGAGGGCUUGGC
Molecule: ribosomal RNA, 1628 nt
Filed under: metagenome
Description: bacterial LSU rRNA
Rfam family: Bacterial large subunit ribosomal RNA
Source: RNAcentral